UACCUUUUCUUUUCUUUGGUCUGUUAUGUCUCUUGACUUCUAAAACAUCAUUUAGCCAACUCACAGCCCCGAAAAAAUCUUGAAGUUACCAAAAGAAGAAGAUAGUGCCAACCUGAAGCCAUCUGAAUUAAAAAAAGAUACAUGCUACUCUCCAAAGCCAUCUGUGUACCUUUCAACACCUUCCAGUGCUUCUAAAGCAAAUACAACUGCUUUCCUGACUCCAUUAGAAAUCAAAGCUAAAGUGGAAACAGAUGAUGUGAAAAAAAAUUCCCUGGAUGAACUUAGAGCCCAGAUUAUUGAAUUGUUGUGCAUUGUAGAAGCACUGAAAAAGGAUCACGGGUAAGUAGCCCUUCUUUCCUCCUAUGAGUACUACUUAACCCAUGCAUACAGAAUUUUUUUAAACCAUAUUAAGUAAAAAUCUAAUCUGUGGCUGGGUGUGUGGUAGUUCACGCCUGUAAUCCCAGCACUUUGGGAGACCAAGGUUGGAGGAUUGCUUGAGUCCAGGAGUUCGAGACCAGCCUGGAUGACAUGGCAAAACCCCAUCUUUGC
This 549-nucleotide small RNA is filed under the name Pongo abelii (Sumatran orangutan). Its description in RNAcentral is "processed transcript". Lineage: Eukaryota; Metazoa; Chordata; Mammalia; Primates; Hominidae. The record is from RNAcentral.